RNAcentral lists this long non-coding RNA (2548 nucleotides) under Salmo salar (Atlantic salmon). Its description in RNAcentral is "lncRNA (ENSSSAG00000110284.1)". The record is from RNAcentral. Lineage: Eukaryota; Metazoa; Chordata; Actinopteri; Salmoniformes; Salmonidae.
CUCACCGCUCCCGAUUAUACUACUGCCAAUGUCCAGUCUCUUGACAACAAGGUAGACAAAAUUCGAGCAAGGGUUGCCUUCCAGAGAGACAUCAGAGAUUGUAACAUUCUCUGUUUCACGGAAACAUGGCUCUCUCUGGAUAUGUUGUCAGAGUCGGUACAGCCACCCGGUUUCUUCACGCAUCACGCCGACAGAAACAAACAUCUCUCUGGUAAGAAGAAGGGCGGGGGUGUAUGUCUUAUGAUUAACGAAUCAUGGUGUGAUCAUAACAACAUUCAGGAACUCAAGUCCUUUUGUUCAUCUGACCUAGAAUUCCUUACAAUCAAAUGCCGACCACAUUAUCAACAAAGAGAAUUCUUUGAUUAUAAUCACAGGCGGGAUCACAGCCGUAUCCCCCCCCCCCCCCAAGCAGACACCUCGACUGCCGUGAAAGAACUUCAUUGAACUCUAUGUAAACUGCAAACCAUAUAUCCUGAGGCGGCAUUUAUUGUAGCUGGGGAUUUUAACAAAGCUAAUCUGAAAACAAGGCUCCCUAAAUUUUAUCAGCAUAUCGAAUGCGCGACCCAGGCUGGCAGCAUUCUGGAUCAUUGCUACUCUAACUUCCGCAACGCAUACAAAGCCUACCCUCGCCCUCCUUUCGGCAAAUCUGACAACGACUCCAUUUUGUUGCUCCCAGCCUAUAGACAGAAACUAAAACAGGAAACACCCGAGCUCAGGUCUGUUCAAAGCUGGUCUGACCAAUCUGAUUCCACACUUCAAGAUUGCUUCGAUCACGUGGACUGGGAUAUGUUCUGGAUAGCCUCAACAUUGAUGUAUACGCUGAUUCGGUGAGCGAGUUUAUUAGCAAGUGCAUGGGUGAUAUUGUACCCACAGUGACUAUUAAAACCUUCCCCAUCCAGGAACUGUGGAUAGAUGGCAGCAUUCGCUCAAAACUGAAAGCGCGAACCAUCGCUUUUAAUCAUGGCAAGGCAACUGGAAACAUGACCAAAUACAAACAGUGAAGCUUUUCCCUCCGCAAGGCAUCUCCACCCCGCUGAUCCUCAACACAGGGGCCCCACAAGGGUGCGUUCUCAGCCCUCUCCUGUACUCCCUGUUCACCCAUGACCACGUGGCCAUGCACGCCUCCAACUCAAUCAUCAAGUUUGCAGACGACACUACAGUGGUAGGCUUGAUUACCAACAACGACGAGACGGCCUACAGGGAGGAGGUGAGGGCCCUUGGAGUGUGGUGUCAGGAAAAUAACCUCUCACCCAAUGUCAACAAAACAAAGGAGCUGAUCGUGGACUUCAGGAAACAGCAGAGGGAGCACCCCCCAAUCCACAUCGACGGGACAGUGGUGGAGAAGGUGGAAAGUUUUAAGUUCCUCGGCGUACACUUCACUGACAAACUGAAAUGGUCCACCCACACAGACAGUGUGGUGAAGAAGGCGCAACAGCGCCUCUUCAACCACAGGAGGCUGAAGAAAUUUGGCUUGUCACCGAAAACACUUGAUGCACAGAUGCACAAUCGAGAGCAUCCUGUCGGGCUGUAUCACCGCCUGGUACGGUAACUGCUCCACCCACAACCGUAAGGCUCUCCAGAGGGUAGUGAGGUCUGCACAACGCAUCACCGGUGCAAACUACCUGCCCUCCAGGACAGGAUGCUGGCAGAUAAAUUUCAGUGCAACAAUGUCUCUGGAAAAAGUCCACAUUAUUUUCAGGAUUAUCCGAUUCGAUAACCGAGACACCAGACCAGCUUGGCGACAGAGAGACAAGCUAGCUGCAAUCAGGUCAGUGUGGGACAAGUGGGUGGACCACCUGCCACUGUUUUACAACCCUGGGCCCAACGUUACCGUUGAUGAGCAGUUUAUGCCAUUUAGGGGCCGCUGCCCCUUCCGGCAGUACAUACCGACUAAACCCGCAAAAUAUGGAAUCAAGAUCUGGGCUGCCUGUGAUGCUGCUUCAUCAUAUGCGUGGAACUUGCAAGUGUAUACAGUGAAGCCAGAUGGAGGAGCCCCUGAGAAGAACCAAGAGAUGCGGGUUGUCCUGGACGUGACACAAGGACUCCGUAGCCACAACAUGACAUGCAAUAACUUUUUUACUUCGCACAAGCUGGGACAGGAGCUGAAAUCUCAAAUCCAGAGGAGGUAACAUAUCCCAAGGACCCCAGCUUCUACAGCCAUCGUGAGGAGGAUUCAGGAGGAGGAUGCUGGUGCCCCAUCCACCUGACCCACAGAACCAACAACUCCAAUACCGGAAAUUGCAGCUGGUAGCAACAAGAAGAAGCGCUGAGAUGUGUGUGGACCCAAGAAGGACAGGAAGACACAAUACACAUGCAUCAAGUGUAAAAAAUACAUUUGCAACACACACACAGUAAACCUCUGUCCCUCAUGUGGUGUGUAGACCGGCCUUAAUUUGUGUUCAAUGGGGCUCAUUUAUCAUUUCCAUAAAAUACUGUAUGUAAAUUUCUCCUUCCAAUUUGUUCAGUUCAAAACAAUAACCAUUAAAAAAACGUGAUUUUUUUUGUUCAAGAUAAACAUUAUUAUUCCACCCAUGUCUUGAUUAUAAUU